GUUGGGUUAAGUCCCGCAACGAGCGCAACCCUCGUCGUAUGUUGCCAGCAAGUAAUGUUGGGGACUCAUACGAGACUGCCGGGGUCAACUCGGAGGAAGGUGGGGAUGACGUCAAGUCAUCAUGCCCCUUAUGUCUAGGGCUGCACGCAUGCUACAAUGGCUGGUACAAAGGGCUGCAAUACCGCGAGGUGGAGCGAAUCCCAAAAAGCCAGUCUCAGUUCGGAUUGGGGUCUGCAACUCGACCCCAUGAAGUCGGAGUCGCUAGUAAUCGCAGAUCAGCAACGCUGCGGUGAAUACGUUCCCGGGCCUUGUACACAC
RNAcentral lists this ribosomal RNA (318 nucleotides) under uncultured bacterium. Its description in RNAcentral is "bacterial SSU rRNA". It matches the Rfam family "Bacterial small subunit ribosomal RNA", at positions 1074 to 1390 of the family's 1533-position model. The record is from RNAcentral.